GGCCACCUAAAAAACUGUUCUUCAAAAGCAAGCUUGUUUAAGUUCCAUAAGUUGCUUAGCACAAAAAAUAAAGGAUCAUACAGAAAUAAAUGGUCCAGGGCCCUGGUGGGAUUCCAUGUAGCAUGGAGUCUGGGCCUUAGCAGCUUAACUCCCUGCAAAAAAAAAAAAAAAAAAAAAAAAAAAAGAAAAGAAAAGGGAAGUAUACCCUACUGGGGAAUGGAAGUUUAGGGAAGCCAUUCCAAAGGCCUCAAGUUCUGAGCCAGCCACAGAGACCAUGGCCCAGGCGAUGUGCCAGCAUCAACAGGGCAAUGACAGUGACACAGAGCAGCCAGGACUACGCUGGGCAGGGGAUGCCUGGACUUCAUGUCCGCAGGUGUACCCAUAAAAGAGGAGUGACUGGGGCCAUCUCACAGCUACCACCUGGAAUCUUAAAAGCCCAUGGAACUAUGAGAGAGGACAAUUGGUGGGAACAAGUAGGAAAAAAGAUACAUCUGCACCUCUAAGCUAGUGUCAUCAGGAGACAUCUGAUAGAUCCGGCCUAAAUGACUGUUUUAGAAGAAAGUGGAUAUUCCACCAGUCAAUCAAGAAAUUUCCACAGAAGAUAAAAGGCAAGCAGAUUGAAUAUGGGAAUUUACCCAAUUCCAAGAGAAUUUGUUGUGUCCUGCAAUCAUUUGGUUUUACAUCUGUGUCCCAUCUAGGAGCAGUCACCCAGUCAUUUAACCAAAUACCAAAUCCUUAAAUUGUCUGCAAAUACACUGCGGUUCAUUUGGGUAGAUUUCUUUUUAAAGAAAGUCUAUAUAUUAUUAUUAAAAUAAUAGCACAUGUUUAUUAGUAGACAAUUUAGAAAGUAUAUUCAAACCAAAAAAUAAAAGAAAAUGAAAUUAUCCAUAUUUUCC
RNAcentral lists this long non-coding RNA (896 nucleotides) under Homo sapiens (human). Its description in RNAcentral is "HSALNT0041503". The record is from RNAcentral. Lineage: Eukaryota; Metazoa; Chordata; Mammalia; Primates; Hominidae.